AACGAACGCUGGCGGCGUGCUUAACACAUGCAAGUCGAACGAGAAAAUCGUAGCAAUACGGUGAGUAAAGUGGCGCACGGGUCCGUAACACGUGGAUAAUUUUCCUUCGGGCGAGGGACAACCUGUCGAAAGACGGGCUAAUACCUCAUAAGACCACGAGAACUUCGGUUCUUGGGGUAAAAGGUGGCCUCUAUUUAUAAGCUAUCACCUGAAGAUAAGUCCGCGCACCAUUAGCUAGUUGGUGAGGUAAUGGCUCACCAAGGCCAAGAUGGUUAGCUGGUCUGAGAGGACGACCAGCGACACUGGAACUGAGACACGGUCCAGACUCCUACGGGAGGCUG
This 341-nucleotide ribosomal RNA is filed under the name uncultured Pseudomonadota bacterium. Its description in RNAcentral is "bacterial SSU rRNA". It matches the Rfam family "Bacterial small subunit ribosomal RNA", at positions 29 to 351 of the family's 1533-position model. The record is from RNAcentral. Lineage: Bacteria; Pseudomonadati; Pseudomonadota.